UACGGAGGGUGCAAGCGUUAAUCGGAAUAACUGGGCGUAAAGCGCACGCAGGCGGUCAGAUAAGUCAGAUGUGAAAUCCCCGGGCUCAACCUGGGAACUGCAUUUGAAACUGUCUGACUAGAGUCUUGUAGAGGGGGGUAGAAUUCCAGGUGUAGCGGUGAAAUGCGUAGAGAUCUGGAGGAAUACCGGUGGCGAAGGCGGCCCCCUGGACAAAGACUGACGCUCAGGUGCGAAAGCGUGGGGAGCAAACAGG
Molecule: ribosomal RNA, 253 nt
Filed under: uncultured bacterium
Lineage: Bacteria
Description: partial 16S ribosomal RNA
Rfam family: Bacterial small subunit ribosomal RNA
Source: RNAcentral